ACUGCCACCCUCUCCCAGGUCUAGAGAGGGGUACCCACGGUGGAGGGAGGUGGGAGGCCGAGACGGCCCCGGGGGUCGGCGGAGACCCAGCGGGAGCAGGGGGAAAUCGGAAGAGCUGGGGGCAUGGAGCGGGCGAGUUUGGAGCGGAAUGAGCCGGGAGCCCUACGUUGUGGAAGGAAGACAACAGUAUAGGACCAUCAGCAGGACCGGACAGAGAGGGGCACCCCUGGCUGUCCUGGAACUUGUAGACCAGGCUGGCCUUGAACUCAGAAAUCCGCCUGCCUCUGACUCCCGAGUGCUGAGAUUAAAGGUGUGCACCACCACACCCGACAAGGAAGCCUGUUUUAAGAAGUGAUUCCAUGGAGGAGUUCUGCGGCGGCUCAGGGCUUGACUAAACAGUGGACCUCAGACAAGAGAGGCUAAACCAGGCUGCAGGUGACAGGAAGAAUUGAAUAAACUGAAAGCAAAGGGCAGCCUUCUAAUUACGCUUCGUGGCUAUGUGGACAACCUGGAGAAGUCUGGAAACCCCCACCCCAUCACAUUCUUACUCCUUCCCUUUCCAAGAAAGAAGCCAGAAGCCCGAAGCCAGCAGUAGAGCUCUGACUGGCUUGUAUGCCUAGAAAGGAAGGGCUCUUCUUUCGCCUCACGGGCACAAAUGGGACCCACGAGCGCCGAUUUCAGACUAUUCUGAUCCCUUCAAAAAGAAAGUUAGGAGUCCAGGCUACUGUGAGUGAAUUUGAUUCUAAUUGUUUCAGAGAAUAUGGAAUAAAAUAUCUCAUUUGCAGUUGUUUA
RNAcentral lists this long non-coding RNA (792 nucleotides) under Mus musculus (house mouse). Its description in RNAcentral is "predicted gene 20544". Lineage: Eukaryota; Metazoa; Chordata; Mammalia; Rodentia; Muridae. The record is from RNAcentral.